RNAcentral lists this ribosomal RNA (433 nucleotides) under uncultured bacterium. RNAcentral describes it as "partial 16S ribosomal RNA". It matches the Rfam family "Bacterial small subunit ribosomal RNA", at positions 29 to 507 of the family's 1533-position model. The record is from RNAcentral.
AACGAACGCUGGCGGCAUGCCUAACACAUGCAAGUCGAACGAGACCUUCGGGUCUAGUGGCGCACGGGUGCGUAACGCGUGGGAACCUGCCCUUAGGUUCGGAAUAACUUCCCGAAAGGGGUGCUAAUACCGGAUAAUGUCUUCGGACCAAAGAUUUAUUGCCCUUGGAUGGGCCCGCGUUGGAUUAGCUAGUUGGUAGGGUAAAAGCCUACCAAGGCGACGAUUCAUAGCUGGUCUGAGAGGAUGAUCAGCCACACUGGGACUGAGACACGGCCCAGACUCCUACGGGAGGCAGCAGUGGGGAAUAUUGGACAGUGGGCGAAAGCCUGAUCCAGCAAUGCCGCGUGAGUGAUGAAGGCCUUAAAGUUGUAAAGCUCUAUUACCCGGGAUGAUCAUGACAGUACCGAGAGAAUAAGCUCCGGCUAACUCCGUG